RNAcentral lists this ribosomal RNA (494 nucleotides) under uncultured bacterium. Its description in RNAcentral is "SSU rRNA". It matches the Rfam family "Bacterial small subunit ribosomal RNA", at positions 26 to 523 of the family's 1533-position model. The record is from RNAcentral.
AGGACGAACGCUGGCGGCGUGCUUAACACAUGCAAGUCGAACGGAAAGGCCCGCUUGCGGGUACUCGAGUGGCGAACGGGUGAGUAACACGUGGGCAACCUGCCCUCAGCUCUGGGAUAACUCCGGGAAACCGGUGCUAAUACUGGAUAUCGACUUCUGCUCGCAUGGGUGGUUGUUGAAAGUUUUUCGGCUGGGGAUGGGCCCGCGGCCUAUCAGCUUGUUGGUGGGGUGAUGGCCUACCAAGGCGACGACGGGUAGCCGGCCUGAGAGGGCGACCGGCCACACUGGGACUGAGACACGGCCCAGACUCCUACGGGAGGCAGCAGUGGGGAAUAUUGCGCAAUGGCCGAAAGGCUGACGCAGCGACGCCGCGUGGGGGAGGAAGGCCUUCGGGUUGUAAACCCCUGUUGCCCGGGACGAAUGCGUACCAUAGGGUGCGUUGACGGUACCGGGUGAGGAAGCACCGGCUAACUCCGCGCCAGCAGCCGCGGUAA